Molecule: ribosomal RNA, 253 nt
Filed under: uncultured bacterium
Lineage: Bacteria
Description: partial 16S ribosomal RNA
Rfam family: Bacterial small subunit ribosomal RNA
Source: RNAcentral
UACGUAGGGGGCAAGCGUUGUCCGGAUUUACUGGGCGUAAAGAGCGCGUAGGCGGAAGUUUAAGCGGUGCCUGAAAGCCCCCGGCUCAACCGGGGAGGGUGGUGCCGAACUGGGCUUCUUGAGGGCGAUAGAGGAGAGUGGAAUUCCGGGUGUAGCGGUGAAAUGCGUAGAGAUCCGGAGGAACACCAGUGGCGCAGGCGGCUCUCUGGGUCGACCCUGACGCUGAGGCGCGAAAGCGUGGGGAGCGAACAGG